Long non-coding RNA from Cyprinus carpio carpio, 448 nucleotides. NCBI's taxonomy places the organism in Eukaryota, Metazoa, Chordata, Actinopteri, Cypriniformes, Cyprinidae. The record is from Ensembl.
GUUAAAUUUCAAGAGAAUAGUCUAAAUAAAGUGUUGAGAAUAAACUCGUUAAAUUUCAAGAGAAAGGUCUAAAUAAAUUGUUGAAAAUAAACUUGUUACAUUUCAAGAGAAUAGUCAAAAUAAAGUGUUGAGAAUAAACUCAUUAAAUUUCAAGAAAAACUGGAUACAUACUGGAUCCGGGUGACUGCAGUGACCCUCUGAUCUGGAUACAGACUGGAUCUGGUGGCCACGGUGACCUCGGAAUAAGAGAGAAACAGACUAAUAUUAGCGUAGAUGCCAUUCUUCUAACGAUUUAGCAAGUACAUCAGGUGUUAUUGGUUUCAACUUUUUUUCUCAAAUUUUAUCUUUUUCUCUAAAUUUAAUGACUUUAAUCUUAAAAUGGUUUUAUUGGUUUUUUUUUUUUUAUUAUUAUUAUUGCUUGGCCCUAAUCCUCUUCCUUCCUUAAAAG